Molecule: long non-coding RNA, 1026 nt
Organism: Megalobrama amblycephala (Wuchang bream)
Lineage: Eukaryota; Metazoa; Chordata; Actinopteri; Cypriniformes; Xenocyprididae
Exons: 3
Source: RefSeq, a predicted model, not a curated record
UUCUUAAUAUUAUGUUGGAAACAGUUGUGCUGCUUAAUAUUUUUGUGGAAUUUUUUCAGGGUUCCUUAAUGAUUAGAGAGUUCAAAUAAACAGCAUCUUUACUGUCACUUUUAAUCAAUUUAAUUCAUCCUUGCUGAAUAAAAGAAUUUCUGAAAAUAAAAAUUAUAAAUAAAAUAAAAUCUUACUCAUUGCCCUCAUUGGAGUUUAGCUCCAACUUGCCUCAACUCACCUGCCUGGAAGUUCCCAGGGCUGCGUUUAAGUCCAAUUAUUCACAAGUGUACAGUAUGUCUAAAAGUGGAUUUAAAGCAACACCAUGGAACAUUUUCUCACGGUUCCCCCAUGUGGUUGAUAAUCGCAAUUGUCUGUUACCAGUGUCAUAAAUACUGUCGCUGUAUAAGCUUCCCCAUUGGCAGCGCAAUACAUGUGAAUUUGUUGACAAAGCUGACGGAACCGGCGAAUGCAGAACCUUGUUUGGAAACCAUGUCCACCAACCAGAUUUGUGUUAUGACUUUUGCCUGGCUGUGUACGAUUCUGGAUAUCCAAAUAAAACUGCACUUGGAUCAGAGACAAGUCUCAGCAUCCGUGACAAAAACCUCCAUCAUCUUCAGAUCCGGCAGCAUGGUAAUCCGGAUCGUUCCCCCUACCUCUAUGAAGGAGCGACUGCGUACGACAUGAGAACUUGACUGCCCUAUGUCAGCAGGGGAUGCAGCUCCACCAGAUCCGCCAUGGGGGUCUUCAGUUCCGUCUGCAUGGCUGUGGUGGUCAUCUGUUCUGCCGUGGGGGUCUUCAAGUCCAUCUGCACGGUUGUGGUUGGUCGUUCUGCUCCACCGUGGGGGUCUUCAAGCCUGUCUACGUUGCAGUGGUGGCAGCCUGCCCAGCCUUGGCCAUCUGCUGAGCCUGCUCCACCCUGGCCACCUGCUCAGCUGGCUCCACCCUGGUCAUCUGCUUUGCCUUCAUUUCAAGUUCCCUUUCCCCUCCACAGACCUGGCCCACCAUCCCUCUCCCUGAUCCUCCUCCUCCCUUUUU